This 254-nucleotide ribosomal RNA is filed under the name uncultured bacterium. RNAcentral's name for it is "partial 16S ribosomal RNA". It matches the Rfam family "Bacterial small subunit ribosomal RNA", at positions 524 to 776 of the family's 1533-position model. The record is from RNAcentral.
UACGUAGGGUGCAAGCGUUGUCCGGAAUUAUUGGGCGUAAAGAGCUCGUAGGCGGUUCAGUAAGUCGGGUGUGAAAGCUCCGAGCUCAACUCGGAGAGGCCACCCGAUACUGCUGUGACUUGAGUCCAGUAGAGGAGCGUGGAAUUCCUGGUGUAGCGGUGAAAUGCGCAGAUAUCAGGAGAAACACCAGCAGCGAAGGCGGCGCUCUGGGCUGGAACUGACGCUGAGGAGCGAAAGCGUGGGUAGCAAACAGG